CGGGUGCACUGAUCCAGCCGGGCCUUUCCCUCUGUGGAACCCCAUGGCCUUCACUGGCUGUGGUGGGGAAACAGGACUUUUACUUUGAAAAAAUUAGAGUGCUCCAGGCAGGCCUAUGCUCGAAUACAUUAGCAUGGAAUAAUAGAAUAGGACGUGUGGUUCUAUUUUGUUGGUUUCUAGGACCGCCGUAAUGAUUAAUAGGGACAGUCGGGGGCAUCAGUAUUCAAUUGUCAGAGGUGAAAUUCUUGGAUCUAUUGAAGACUAACUACUGCGAAAGCAUUUGCCAAGGAUGUUUUCAUUGAUAAGGAACGAAAGUUAGGGGAUCGAAGACGAUCAUAUACCGUCGUAGUCUUAACUAUAAACUAUGCCGACUAGGGAUCGGACGAUGUUAUUCUUUGACGCGUUCGGCACCUUUCGAGAAAUCAAAGUGCUUGGGCUCCAGGGGGAGUAUGGUCGCAAGGCUGAAACUUAAAGAAAUUGACGGAAGGGCACCACCAGGGGUGGAACCUGCGGCUUAAUUUGACUCAACACGGGGAAACUCACCAGGUCCAGACACAGUGAGGAUUGACAGAUUGAGAGCUCUUUCUUGAUUCUGUGGGUGGUGGUGCAUGGCCGUUCUUAGUUGGUGGAGUGAUUUGUCUGCUUAAUUGCGAUAACGAACGAGACCUUAACCUGCUAAAUAGCCCGUACUGCUUUGGCAGUUCGCCGGCUUCUUAGAGGGACUAUCGG
RNAcentral lists this ribosomal RNA (729 nucleotides) under uncultured eukaryote. RNAcentral's name for it is "SSU rRNA". It matches the Rfam family "Eukaryotic small subunit ribosomal RNA", at positions 670 to 1426 of the family's 1831-position model. The record is from RNAcentral.